AAAUCAAAGAAUUACAACUUAAAAAAAUAAGUAUACAAAGUCAUAAGGUUUAGAAAUACAUUUCCAUAUUUUAAUCAGACAACAAUAUUGUUUUGGAAAGAAAACAUUGAUUAUGCUGAAAUAGUUUACUGGAGAGCUUGAACAAGAGGUAAAUCCAUUUUAAAUUAGAGGAAAACUGUUGAUUUGUAUGUAAAAUAGAAGACAAAGACAAGUUUAAAUAAAGACAAGCUAGCUAAUGAAACAGAUGCAGUGAUAUGACAAACACCUAGAAGAUGGAAUCCUGUGUUCUCAAAGAAAAAGCUAGUUCCAGAAAUAAGCUACCAAUAAUAAACUAGAGAAUGUAUUACAAGAAAGAACAACGCUAAUACUCAACAUAGCUCAAUUGCUUCAGAUAGAAAAAGAGGAGGAAAGGGUAGAACACAAGCGUGCCAGAGAAAAUUAAAGGGCAGAAGAGACACAAAAAUUCAUUGAUUUAUUAAAUUUAAUAAUUAAAUUAUACAAAGGACAAUUAAAUAAAGAAUAAAAAAUUA
Molecule: long non-coding RNA, 530 nt
Filed under: Diabrotica virgifera virgifera (western corn rootworm)
Lineage: Eukaryota; Metazoa; Arthropoda; Insecta; Coleoptera; Chrysomelidae
Description: uncharacterized LOC126886969
Source: RNAcentral